CAGCAGCAGCCACGGUAAUACGGAGGGUGCAAGCGUUAAUCGGAAUUACUGGGCGUAAAGCGCACGCAGGCGGUCUGACAAGUCAGAUGUGAAAUCCCCGGGCUUAACCUGGGAACUGCAUUUGAAACUGUCAGGCUGGAGUCUUGUAGAGGGGGGUGGAAUUCCAGGUGUAGCGGUGAAAUGCGUAGAGAUCUGGAGGAAUACCGGUGGCGAAGGCGGCCCCCUGGACAAAGACUGACGCUCAGGUGCGAAAGCGUGGGGAGCAAACAGGAUUAGAUACCCGUGUAGUCCCUGUCUCUUAUAC
RNAcentral lists this ribosomal RNA (304 nucleotides) under uncultured bacterium. Its description in RNAcentral is "partial 16S ribosomal RNA". It matches the Rfam family "Bacterial small subunit ribosomal RNA", at positions 506 to 807 of the family's 1533-position model. The record is from RNAcentral.